RNAcentral lists this ribosomal RNA (443 nucleotides) under uncultured bacterium. RNAcentral's name for it is "SSU rRNA". It matches the Rfam family "Bacterial small subunit ribosomal RNA", at positions 26 to 518 of the family's 1533-position model. The record is from RNAcentral.
AGAACGAACGCUGGCGGCAGGCUUAACACAUGCAAGUCGAGCGCCCAGCAAUGGGAGCGGCGGACGGGUGCGUAACACGUGGGAACAUGCCUUUCGGUACGGAACAACUGCGGGAAACUGCAGCUAAUGCCGUAUACGCCCUUACGGGGAAAGAUUUAUCGCCGAAAGAUUGGCCCGCGUCUGAUUAGCUAGUUGGUGAGGUAACGGCUCACCAAGGCUUCGAUCAGUAGCUGGUUUGAGAGAACGACCAGCCACACUGGGACUGAGACACGGCCCAGACUCCUACGGGAGGCAGCAGUGGGGAAUCUUGGACAAUGGGCGAAAGCCUGAUCCAGCCAUGCCGCGUGAGUGAUGAAGGCCUUCGGGUUGUAAAACUCUUUUACCUGGGAAGAUAAUGACUGUACCAGGAGAUAAGCCCCGGCUAACUUCGUGCCAGCAGCCGC